AGCAGUCGCCGCGGGAAUACGGAGGGUGCAAGCGUUAAUCGGAAUUACUGGGCGUAAAGCGUGCGUAGGCGGUUUGUUAAGUCUGUUGUGAAAUCCCCGGGCUCAACCUGGGAAUGGCAAUGGAUACUGGCAAGCUAGAGUGUGUCAGAGGAUGGUGGAAUUCCCGGUGUAGCGGUGAAAUGCGUAGAGAUCGGGAGGAACAUCAGUGGCGAAGGCGGCCAUCUGGGACAACACUGACGCUGAGGCACGAAAGCGUGGGGAGCAAACAGGAUUAGAUACCCCCGUAGUCCCUGUCUCUUAUAC
This 303-nucleotide ribosomal RNA is filed under the name uncultured bacterium. Its description in RNAcentral is "partial 16S ribosomal RNA". It matches the Rfam family "Bacterial small subunit ribosomal RNA", at positions 507 to 807 of the family's 1533-position model. The record is from RNAcentral.